RNAcentral lists this ribosomal RNA (207 nucleotides) under uncultured bacterium. RNAcentral's name for it is "partial 16S ribosomal RNA". It matches the Rfam family "Bacterial small subunit ribosomal RNA", at positions 568 to 774 of the family's 1533-position model. The record is from RNAcentral.
CGCGUAGGCGGGGAUAUAAGUCAGAUGUGAAAUCCUGGGGCUCAACCUCAGAACUGCAUUUGAAACUAUAUCUCUUGAGGGUAGGAGGAGAAAACGGAAUUCCACAAGUAGCGGUGAAAUGCGUAGAUAUGUGGAAGAACACCGGUGGCGAAGGCGGUUUUCUAUCUUAUUCCUGACGCUGAGGCGCGAAAGCAAGGGGAUCAAACA